AAACCGGCCCGCUUGGCUCUCCUCCGCGGCCUGCUCCCCUAUCGCGCUGCGGUUCCUUCCCUUUCCGCCGCCCUGUUGCCCUCCGCCCCCGCCGUCGGUCGCCGUCCUUGGCCGCUGCCCCCUACCGGGCUCCCCACGUCUCGACCCCCGCCGUCGCCGCCCCUCCGACCCCCGUCGUCCGCUCUGCCCCUCCGACCGGCGGCGUGCGGGUGACGGAUCUGGUCCGCUCCGCCCUCCGGCGACGUCGUCCUCCGAUCUAAGCUGGCGACGUUGAGGCGAAGCAAUGGGUGGUGGAUCCGGUCCAGCGGCGUCGAGGUGGAUCGCGGGUGGCGUCGUCGAGGCGAUGCAGCGGCUGGCAGAUCCGGGCGGCGGCAUGGAGCGGGCGGCGGAUCCAAACGCUGGUGUUGAAGAGGCGGCGUCGGCGAUGGCGGUGCUGUCGAGGCGUCAGCGCGAACGGCGGCGGGAGCAAGACGAACGGAGGCGACAUCCAGGCAGAGGCGCGGGUGGCGAGAACGCCGGUGCCGUGCACCGGCUGUCCGGGAAGACCGCAACCACCCUCCUGCAGGUGCGCUCCCCACGUUUUUCGUUUUCGUUCCUCAUGCGCGGAAGCGGUGGAGGGAUUGGGGAGAAGCCUCGGCGUCGUUGGAGGGGGGGUCAGGCCGACGGGGUCGACCGGCCGCGGCCGGGGCCGGAGGCCGCCAGCACAGGGCAGGGCAGGUGCGGCUCCUGUGCCGUGCCGAAGUCGAGAUUUCCCUGCCGCCAUGGCCGACCUACAGCCCCACGCCCUCUUCUUCUCAGCUCCGGCCUGUCCCGCAGGUCAUCUUGCUUCUUUUGUGGUGAGAUCCUGUUCCCCAUUCCUUUAUUGUUUCUGAGAUUCCAGAGCUGGAGCUCACCUGCUGGUACUGGGGCACCUCAUCACGAAUGAAUCGUAGGAGCCUGAUACUCCUUGCAUCUUGCAAUCUUUGUUCUGUGUUCGGCUCGAAAUUCAACUCUGAUUGAAUGCAUGUUCCAGUCAGAGAGGUAACAUUUCAGUUGUUAAUUGCUAACUGUGCUUCCUUUAGGUUGAACUACUGGUGCUACGCCAGCCAAUCAAUAAUCUCCUAAGUGAUUCCUACCCGUUUCCACACCUGGGCAUUCUUCAAUUUAACAAUUAUGCCUCGGUUUGUCUUUCUAAGCCUUAAACUUGCAUUACUCAAAAUGUUUGAGUAGUAGUCUGAUGCAGUUCAGCGGUGGCGGUGAGCUAAACCCCAAACUAAUUAGUAGCUUCCUAAUCUAUUUGUCUCCAUGCCCCCAAACUGUUAUGAAAUGCAUUGUCAGCAAACAAAAUCAUUUUUUUUAUUCAUUGGCAAUCUGGUUCACACUUAAUACAUCUUAUCUAUACUAGCUUCACUUCACCAGAUUAGUAGUGGUUGGUUAUUUGUCGAUGUUUACUUUCAAGGUUUGUGCAGACAAGUUUUAAUGUUUGCACUUAAUCACCCUACAUAAUUUCUUUUUUGGCGAGAAGAACCCUACCUGAUUUUGUUACUAUGAUGACAGUCUCACUAGAUGAAUGUUAUCUCAACUGAACUCUUAACUGUGUUGCAGAUUUAAAUUUAAAUUGCCAUGCUUCUUUAUCUCCAAAAUAUCUUUUUAUUGCUUCCCUCCAUUUCACAAAGUACAGGUUGAUACAACUUGAUACUUUUAGAAUAGUAGUCAGCUGUACUUUAUUGGUGAUGAUGAGCCAAACUAAUUUCAAUGAACAAGCUAUCAAGAUGUAGUUUCCUAAUCUAUUUUUCUCCAUGCCUCCGCACCAAACAAUAAUUAACAUUGCCUUUUGUCCCCCGUUUCCUAAGUGAGAGAUAACUUUUAAUACUUUAAGGGUGUAGAAUUAUUAGACAGAAUAGUAACCUUGACAGCAGGUUUUGUAAUUGAAUCUGUUUCUUUCAACUGAACUUUUCAUUAACUUGCGCUGUGUUGGUUCUUCCAUUUGGUGACCAAGGGUGGCUUCGUUCAAAUAGCUAGCUGCAUCUUCGGAGGGAUUGUUUGCAAGAUUCUGCUAGCAGCUUGGUUAGUAACUCCGAUUUCUUCCCCCUUGUGCUGGCAUAACUGAUGACCCGUCAAGGUUAAGGCUAAAACAAGUUGUAAUGGGUGUGCUUUAAGUGGCAUGUGUUCAUAUUGUCAGGUUAGUUGAAGCCCAACGAUGAACAAUGGGAAAAGGUGAAUAUUUAUCUACAUUGAAGCAUUCACAUGGAUGAGGGCCCAUGAUUGUCCUGAGGUUGCUUUUAAAGCACUACCGAGCUGCCUUACAUGGAAAGAGAAAACAUUUCUCCAGCCUUUUUCCUACUGUUACUUCAUCUUGCAAAUUUCUCAUCUCUAACUUGAAAAAACAAGUAGUAGGAGGGGUUUAAUCAUGAGUCCUUCGAUAUUUUCAAUAUUGCAGAGGCUUAUCAUGGAGAGUUGUGACAUCAGAGGCCUCCUUAAAACUAUUACGAAUUAUUCAUAGUAAUAAUGCAUAUGGUGAUUAUAAUUUGUUAGUCAUCUUUA
RNA transcript from Panicum virgatum (switchgrass), 2523 nucleotides. RefSeq lists it as uncharacterized. The record is from RefSeq and is a predicted model, not a curated record. The transcript has 4 exons. NCBI's taxonomy places the organism in Eukaryota, Viridiplantae, Streptophyta, Magnoliopsida, Poales, Poaceae.